UAAUUGAAGAGUUUGAUCAUGGCUCAGAUUGAACGCUGGCGGCAGGCCUAACACAUGCAAGUCGAGCGGUAACAGGGGAAGCUUGCUUCUCGCUGACGAGCGGCGGACGGGUGAGUAAUGUAUGGGGAUCUGCCCGAUAGAGGGGGAUAACCACUGGAAACGGUGGCUAAUAC
This 173-nucleotide ribosomal RNA is filed under the name Providencia rettgeri. RNAcentral's name for it is "partial 16S ribosomal RNA". It matches the Rfam family "Bacterial small subunit ribosomal RNA", at positions 1 to 169 of the family's 1533-position model. Lineage: Bacteria; Pseudomonadati; Pseudomonadota; Gammaproteobacteria; Enterobacterales; Morganellaceae. The record is from RNAcentral.